UCCAACCCCCAUUCACCUCUAUGCUGUCUUCCUUUCCUUCUCACCCUCUACCCCUUCUUUCCUCAGAGCUCCUGGAUCCCCUCUAGGUGUCAUCUGACAGCCUUUUCCUGGGGAGGGGGGCUGAAGUGGAGAGGGAGGAGGGAAUAAAAAGGGAUGAAGGAGGAAAAGCAGACAGACUAACAGACAAGGAGGGAGGGAGACACAGUCAGAGGAAGAGAUAGACACACUAUCGCAGCUAUGCCCGAAGCCAAGAAGCCAGCGGCCAAGACAGAUAAGGCUGCAGCAGCACCUGCUGAUAAGGGUGGGUGAGAACAGGGCAUGUGUGUGUGUUAACCUGUGUGUGUUUGUGUUAGUCAGUAGGGCAUAAUCAUCCCCUCAUCAUUCCAAUGUAAUGUCGGUUAACUGUUUUCCCUCACUCAGCGAAGCCAGCGGAGGAUCAUGGUAAGGCUUCUAAGACCAAUCACAGAAGUAGCUUUCUGUGGGGAUGAGACUGAGAGUGGCCAUGCAUGAUUCUCACCACGCGCCAUGACAGUGUUGAUCAGAUAGAACGCCAAUACACUUAACUUAGGCUUCACACGUUUAUAUUCAUGCCUAUCACAAUAUCCCACUGGUUUAUGCCUG
This is a long non-coding RNA of Salvelinus sp. IW2-2015, 621 nucleotides long. RefSeq lists it as uncharacterized. Lineage: Eukaryota; Metazoa; Chordata; Actinopteri; Salmoniformes; Salmonidae. The record is from RefSeq and is a predicted model, not a curated record.